RNAcentral lists this unclassified non-coding RNA (205 nucleotides) under Hevea brasiliensis (rubber tree). Lineage: Eukaryota; Viridiplantae; Streptophyta; Magnoliopsida; Malpighiales; Euphorbiaceae. The record is from RNAcentral.
AAAAGGGCAUAAAAAAGAAGAUUAAAGAGACGUUGACCGGAGGCGCUGAAGAAGGUAUACAAACUACUAUUCCUAUUUCUAUUCCUACUCCGACUUCUAGUGGUGAAGUCGAAAAGAAAGGAAUAAUGGAGAAAAUCAAGGAGAAGAUCCCUGGAAUGCACUGAAUGAAUGUUAUAUUUCAAGUAUGUAUGUGUGUCGAUUUUUG